Molecule: ribosomal RNA, 1842 nt
Filed under: Diptilomiopus engelhardter
Lineage: Eukaryota; Metazoa; Arthropoda; Arachnida; Trombidiformes; Diptilomiopidae
Description: partial small subunit ribosomal RNA
Rfam family: Eukaryotic small subunit ribosomal RNA
Source: RNAcentral
UGUAAAGUUCAAGCUCCGAUUAUGAGGGCGAAACCGCGAAUGGCUCAUUAAAUCAGUCAUAAUCUACUUGAUUGUUUCCAGUUUAUAUGGAUAACUGUGGUAAUUCUAGAGCUAAUACAUGCACAAAGGGGGCGACUCUUUCGCGAGAGAAGCUCUGCGUUUAUUAGACUAAGACCAAUGAUAGCUUGCUAUCUUGUUCAAGGUGACUCUGAGUAAAUAAUGGGUGAAAGCCCAUGGUGCUGACCUGAUAUACCAAAAAGCCCGCAAGGGUUUGUCAGGCAAAUCAAUCGUGUGUCUGCUCUAUCAACUGUGGAUGGUAGGAUAAUUGCCUACCAUGGUGAUGACGGGUAACGGGGAGUUAGGGCUCGACUCCGGAGAACAAGCCUGAGAAACGGCUAGUAGGACUAAGGUCUGCAGCAGGCGCGAAACUUACACAAUGCUAGAUUACAAUUAGCGAUGUAGUGAAGAAAAAUAACGAUGUAUUUCCAUUUAAACAUGGUAGUACAAUUGGAAUGAGACGACUUUAAAUCAGUUAGUCGAGUAACAAAUGGAGGGCAAGUCUGGUGCCAGCAGCCGCGGUAAUUCCAGCUCCAUUAGCAUACAUUAAAGUUGUUGCGGUUAAAAAGCUCGUAGUUGAAUUUUAGGCGGGCUCUAUUGGGGUGCAAUCGUUAAGGUCCUCUGGUCUUAGGGUUCGCCCUAUGCUCCAGUGUGACUGGUUGUCAUCUUCCUAUAGGAACUCGCUGUUUCGUCACUUAAUCGAGUGCGAAGCGGGCUGGAACGAGGCUACGACUUCGGUCUACCUUGUGUCAGCGUGUUUACCUUGAGAAAAUUAGAGUGCUCACAGCAGGCAGUUGGGGUGUAAAAGCUCCUUUAUGCUUGAAUAAUGUUGCAUGGAAUAAUAGAAUACGGCCUCGGUUCUAUUCUGUUGGUCUUAUAGAACAACAAACAAGUUGGUUAAAGCGAUCAAAAGUCUAUAGGUGAGUGUGGUUUAGAGGUAGCCUGUUGGUUGUUGGUUAACUUGCGCUCAUGUCUUGUUGCCUGGGCCCUAAAAAUCUCAGAGCCUUACGUGGCGCCUAGUUGCCUCCUUUUCCAACUAGGCACGCCUCUCUUCCAUCCAAAGCACUCCUUAUACGGCUAGCUUCUAAUCAACUGAGGCAAUGGUUAAAAGAAAUAGUCGCGGCGGCAUCAGUACUGCAUCGUGAGAGGUGAAAUUCUUAGACCGAUGCAAGACUAACUGAAGCGAAAGCGUUUGCCGAGGAUAUUUUCAUUAAUCAAGAACGAAAGUUAGAGGUUCGAAGGCGAUCAGAUACCGCCCUAGUUCUAACCAUAAACGUUGCCAACUAGCAAUUGGGUUGCGAUUCCUUUAAUCGAAGCUUAAAAACCUUCGAUCAUUAUGAUCCACCCAGCGGCUCUCGUAGGGAAACCAAAGUGUUUGGGUUCCGGGGGAAGUAUGAUUGCAAAGUUGAAACUUAAAGGAAUUGACGGAAGGGCACCACCAGGAGUGGAGCCUGCGGCUUAAUUUGACUCAACACGGGGAAACUUACUAGAUUAGAACUCUGGAAUGAUUGACAGAUUGAUAGCUCUUUCUUGAUUCAGAGGAUGGUGGUGCAUGGCCGUUCUUGAUUCGUAUUCCGAAACGUCUGCUUAAUUGCGAUAACGAGUGAGACCUCAUCCAACUAACUAGUCGCUUGGUGCGCUGUGGAACGCAAAAGUCUUGGUGGGAUUGGUCCUAGUGGGUUGCUGGUUCGCUAGUGGAUCUGCUAGGCUGCCUAUUUAAGAUGUUCUCUGCUCGCCAGCGGACUUCUUAGAGGGAUAAACGGUGCUUUAGCCGUAAGAAACGAG